UGGCAGGCUAGUCUGGGUAGCCCGGCGUUACCUGUAACCCGAAAUCGCCGAUACGCGGGGGACGAAGCCUGAAGAAGAUGUUUGGACCAUUUUCAAACCUGUAAUUUCAACUGAGAAACCCCGUCCUGCUUGGAUGACGUUGAUAUAGGUGCUUUCUGGAGAGAAUGUACUCAUAUCUUAACUGUGGGAACCAGCCCAGGCCCGGAAGGGAGCAGGCCUACCAUAGACAAUCGUCGCUUGGAGGGCUGCGGGGUGGAGAAGAAAUUUCAGACCACCUGAUAAUGGAAAAAGCAGCGACUUCGGGCGUGCCUGUCA
RNAcentral lists this signal recognition particle RNA (315 nucleotides) under Methanolobus tindarius DSM 2278. Its description in RNAcentral is "Metazoa_SRP". It matches the Rfam family "Archaeal signal recognition particle RNA". The record is from RNAcentral. Lineage: Archaea; Methanobacteriati; Methanobacteriota; Methanomicrobia; Methanosarcinales; Methanosarcinaceae.